Molecule: ribosomal RNA, 443 nt
Filed under: uncultured bacterium
Lineage: Bacteria
Description: partial 16S ribosomal RNA
Rfam family: Bacterial small subunit ribosomal RNA
Source: RNAcentral
CCUACGGGUGGCAGCAGUGGGGAAUAUUGGGCAAUGGGCGCAAGCCUGAACCAGCAACGCCGCGUGAAGGAAGAAGGCUUUCGGGUUGUAAACUUCUUUUAUCAGGGACGAAGCAAGUGACGGUACUUGAUGAAUACGCCACGGCUAACUAUGUGACAGCAGCCGCGGUAAUACGUAGGUGGCAAGCGUUAUCCGGAUUUACUGGGUGUAAAGGGCGUGUAGGCGGGAGGGCAAGUCAGAUGUGAAAACUAGGGGCUCAACCCAUAGCCUGCAGUUGAAACUGUACUUCUUGAGUGCUGGAGAGGCAGGCGGAAUUCCGUGUGUAGCGGUGAAAUGCGUAGAUAUUCGGAGGAACACCAGUGGCGAAGGCGGAUUGCUGGACAGUAACUGACGCUGAGGCGCGAAAGCGUGGGGAGCAAACAGGAUUAGAUACCCCUGUAGUC